UGCGUAGGCGGCGCGGUAAGUCGGGUGUGAAAUCUCGGGGCUUAACUCCGAAACUGCAUUCGAUACUGCCGUGCUUGAGGACUGGAGAGGAGACUGGAAUUUACGGUGUAGCGGUGAAAUGCGUAGAUAUCGUAAGGAAGACCAGUGGCGAAGGCGGGUCUCUGGACAGUUCUUGACGCUGAGGCACGAAGGCCAGGGGAGCAAACG
Molecule: ribosomal RNA, 207 nt
Filed under: uncultured bacterium
Lineage: Bacteria
Description: partial 16S ribosomal RNA
Rfam family: Bacterial small subunit ribosomal RNA
Source: RNAcentral